Pteronotus mesoamericanus is the source of this 833-nucleotide long non-coding RNA. RefSeq lists it as uncharacterized. The transcript has 2 exons. NCBI's taxonomy places the organism in Eukaryota, Metazoa, Chordata, Mammalia, Chiroptera, Mormoopidae. The record is from RefSeq and is a predicted model, not a curated record.
GCCAGGCCAGGCUAAAUAAGGCCUCCCCCAGCCAGGCAGAGGGCCAGGGGCGACUACACCUAGGGGGUUCCACUUUGCACACAAACGUCGGAGCCACUUGAUCCUUUGGGAACAGGGAGUGCAGAACUCUCAACGAUCAUUUGUUCAUUAAUUUGUUCUUUCGCUCAUUCAGGAAAACAGCUUUAACAUCCUUCCUGCCCUGCCUACACCCAGGCCAAGGGAGCCCAUGGUGGUCUCCAGUAGUUUCCUCCAUCACAGCUCUGAGCAUGCCAAGUCAUCACACCUGCUCCGAGUUCCGCAGGCCAGAGACGGUUUCCUGUUCACCUCUGCAUUCCCAGCACCCAGCACUUGUCACUUAGCAAGUGUUCAGUGAAUAUUGUGUUCUCUGUAAGCAUAACUGGACUAAUGGCCCCUGGUUUGGUAUAAGGAGGAAGUUCCUGAGAAUCACAGUUGAACAAUAACGGGAACAGCAACUUCAGGAGAUAAUGGACUUCCUUUUACUGAAUGUAUGCAAGCAAAAAUUUGAUGGCUAUUCUCUCAGAGGCUGUAAGAAGAUAUCAACACAGAGCCAAGAGUAGUGGAGAAUACAGGACAGCAGAUCUUUUUGUUCUGGACCUGUUCGUAGGAGCCAGAGUAAGCCCCUGCCCCUCCCCAGGCCUCAGACCAGCAUCUGGGAAAUGAAAGUGCGAGUCUAGAUAUGAGUGACCCUCCCGCUCUGACAACCCAUGGUUUUGUGAACAUCUGCUUUGUAUCCAGGCUUAGCCAUAUGUACAAGUUAAUAUUCAGCCAAUGUUUAAUGAAUGAGUGAGUAUUGAAUGAAUGAACAAAUGAAA